RNAcentral lists this ribosomal RNA (211 nucleotides) under uncultured bacterium. RNAcentral describes it as "partial 16S ribosomal RNA". It matches the Rfam family "Bacterial small subunit ribosomal RNA", at positions 1290 to 1500 of the family's 1533-position model. The record is from RNAcentral.
AGUUCGGAUUGUAGUCUGNAACCCGACUACAUGAAGCUGGAAUCGCUAGUAAUCGCAGAUCAGAAUGCUGCGGUGAAUACGUUCCCGGGUCUUGUACACACCGCCCGUCACACCAUGGGAGUUGGAAAUGCCCGAAGCCAGUGACCCAACCGUAAGGAGGGAGCUGUCGAAGGUGGAGCCGAUGACUGGGGUGAAGUCGUAACAAGGUACC